GACGAACGCUGGCGGCGUGCUUAACACAUGCAAGUCGAACGGAAAGGCCUGCUUUCCCUUGUGGAUUGCGGGUACUCGAGUGGCGAACGGUGAGUAACACGUGAGUGAUCUGCCCCCAACUUGGGUAUAAGCCUGGGAAACUGGGUCUAAUUCCCGAUAGGACUGCAGGGUGGUGCCUGUGGUGGAAAACGAUUUUCUAGUGGUUGGGGAUGAGCUCGCGGCCUAUCGGCUUGUUGGUGGGGUAAUGGCCUACCAAGGCGGCGACGGGUAGCCGGCCUGAGAGGGUGGACGGCCACAUUGGGACUGAGAUACGGCCCAGACUCCUACGGGAGGCAGCAGUGGGGAAUAUUGCACAAUGGGCGGAAGCCUGAUGCAGCGACGCCGCGUGGGGGAUGACGGCCUUCGGGUUGUAAACUCCUUUCGACCGCGAGGAAGCCACCUGGUUGGAAGGGUGGUGACGGUAGUGGUAGAAGAAGCACCGGCUAACUACGUG
Molecule: ribosomal RNA, 493 nt
Filed under: uncultured bacterium
Lineage: Bacteria
Description: partial 16S ribosomal RNA
Rfam family: Bacterial small subunit ribosomal RNA
Source: RNAcentral